ACAAGCGGUGGAUGAUGUGGAUUAAUUCGAUGCAACGCGAAAACCUUACCUACCCUUGACAUGUCUGGAACCUUGCUGAGAGGCGAGGGUGCCUUCGGGAGCCAGAACACAGGUGCUGCAUGGCUGUCGUCAGCUCGUGUCGUGAGAUGUUGGGUUAAGUCCCGCAACGAGCGCAACCCUUGUCAUUAGUUGCCAUCAUUUAGUUGGGCACUCUAAUGAGACUGCCGGUGACAAACCGGAGGAAGGUGGGAUGACGUCAAGUCCUCAUGGCCUUUAUGUCUAGGGCUACACACGUACUACAAUGGCCGGUACAAAGGGCAGCCACUCAGCGAUGAGGCGCUAAUCCCAUAAAGCCGGUCUCAGUCCGGAUCGCAGUCUGCAACUCGACUGCGUGAAGUUGGAAUCGCUAGUAAUCGUAGAUCAGCAUGCUACGGUCGAAUACGUUCCCGGGCCUU
Molecule: ribosomal RNA, 455 nt
Filed under: uncultured Thauera sp.
Lineage: Bacteria; Pseudomonadati; Pseudomonadota; Betaproteobacteria; Rhodocyclales; Zoogloeaceae
Description: bacterial SSU rRNA
Rfam family: Bacterial small subunit ribosomal RNA
Source: RNAcentral